Molecule: ribosomal RNA, 440 nt
Filed under: uncultured bacterium
Lineage: Bacteria
Description: partial 16S ribosomal RNA
Rfam family: Bacterial small subunit ribosomal RNA
Source: RNAcentral
CCUACGGGAGGCAGCAGUGGGGAAUAUUGCACAAUGGGGGAAACCCUGAUGCAGCGACGCCGCGUGAGUGAAGAAGUAAUUCGUUAUGUAAAGCUCUAUCAGCAGGGAAGAAAAUGACGGUACCUGAGUAAGAAGCCCCGGCUAACUACGUGCCAGCAGCCGCGGUAAUACGUAGGGGGCAAGCGUUAUCCGGAUUUACUGGGUGUAAAGGGAGCGUAGACGGCAGUGCAAGUCUGGAGUGAAAGGCGGGGGGUCAACCCCCGGACUGCUCUGGAAACUGUACGGCUGGAGUGCAGGAGAGGUAAGUGGAAUGCCGAGGGUAGCGGUGAAAUGCGUAGAUAUUAGGAGGAACACCAGUGGCGAAGGCGGCUUACUGGACUGUAACUGACGUUGAGGCUCGAAAGCGUGGGGAGCAAACAGGAUUAGAUACCCGAGUAGUC